UAGUCCACGCCGUAAACGGUGCGCACUUGGUGUGGGAGGAAUUGACCCCUUCCGUGCCGUAGCUAACGCGUUAAGUGCGCCGCCUGGGGAGUACGGCCGCAAGGUUAAAACUCAAAGAAAUUGACGGGGGCCCGCACAAGCGGAGGAGCAUGUGGCUUAAUUCGAUGCAACGCGAAGAACCUUACCAGGGCUUGACAUAUACCUGCACGCUCUCCGAAAAGAGAGAAGCUUUCGAAGGUGGUAUACAGGUGCUGCAUGGCUGUCGUCAGUUCGUGCCGUGAGGUGUUUGGUUAAGUCCAGCAACGAACGCAACCCUUGUGUCUAGUUGCCACCCCUGAUUCGUCAGGGCGCACUCUAGACAGACUGCCCGUACAAGCGGGAGGAAGGUGGGGAUGACGUCAAGUCAGUAUGGCCCUUACGCCCUGGGCUGCACACGUGCUACAAUGGUCGGUACAAAGGGAAGCAAUACCGCGAGGUGGAGCAAAAUCCUCAAAGCCGGCCCCAGUUCGGA
This 511-nucleotide ribosomal RNA is filed under the name uncultured bacterium. RNAcentral's name for it is "bacterial SSU rRNA". It matches the Rfam family "Bacterial small subunit ribosomal RNA", at positions 791 to 1297 of the family's 1533-position model. The record is from RNAcentral.